AAAUAAAAUAAAAAAGAAUAAUAGAAACAGAUAAGAGGAAUAGGAAAUGAAAGGUAAAGUAAGAACAGGUCUUCAAUUAGAAAUGGUGGGCAUCGUCGAGCGCCUUUUUCAAUGAGUUUCUUCGAGACAGCCACCACUUCAAUUGGAGUGCUUGUUUGAUUUUUAAAAAUGGCUUUGUUUUUGGUCUUCCAUACAUUCUAACACUGGCAAGCUAGCAGGUCUAUUUUUCUCUCUCCACCAUGACCACCACGUAGGGAUGCUGAUGAAGCUUUCUACUAUGCUCAGAUGCUUGAGAACUGAUUGGCAUCUCUGCAGAUUGGACGUGUUGUGGAGAUCCUUUGGUGUAGUUGUGAAAGAAUAUAGAGCCGUUCAUGCAAGCACUUCCAAAUAAAAAUCUGGACCUUAUGAGAAAUUUUUUGUUUUUAGAUCUUUGACAUAGGCAACUUGAAAGGACUACGUGCCAUAGCUGGAAGAAUACUCACGGGGUAAGGAGGAGGUAGCCACGCAUAUAAAAAAAAUAUGAAUUGAAGUUCUAGAAUCAACUCUUCAAUGGAGGCCCUUUUCAACUAGUUUUUGGCCCUCCAACAUACUACACCAUUCCCAGGAAGGCAUUCUUUCAUGAGAAGCUCAAGAUCAGAUGGUAUUUGAGAUGAAUAAGAAGAUGGUGGCUCUUAAUAUGCAUAAGAAGGAGAUGAUGGUUCUUGAUAAGUGUAAAAAGAGGAUGGUUCUUGGUAUGAAUAGGGAGAUGGUGGCUCUUGAUAUGGAUAGAAAGAUGAUGAUUCUUGGUAGUUGGAACAUGAAGCAUUGAAAUUUCUUUGGUUUUGACUUUGCCAACCAAAAUUUGGAUAGUUCCUCCAUCCACCAUAAUAUGAAUCACUACUCGGGUGUGAGUAGUAACCCAUGUGAUCUCUCUCCAUUAUUUUUCCUUAGCACACAACACCAAACAGGAUUAAACACACCAUGUGGUUGACAAGCAAGUAAAGAAGAAAGAGCAUAAAGAAGAUUUAAACUCAAUAGCCAAGGGGAUACCAAACUUAAUUUCAGAAUUUUUUUUUGUAUAUU
Molecule: non-coding RNA, 1062 nt
Organism: Arachis ipaensis
Lineage: Eukaryota; Viridiplantae; Streptophyta; Magnoliopsida; Fabales; Fabaceae
Source: RefSeq, a predicted model, not a curated record